RNAcentral lists this ribosomal RNA (637 nucleotides) under uncultured bacterium. RNAcentral describes it as "bacterial SSU rRNA". It matches the Rfam family "Bacterial small subunit ribosomal RNA", at positions 202 to 842 of the family's 1533-position model. The record is from RNAcentral.
UAAAGAUUCAUCGCUGAUAGAUAGGCAUGCGUUCCAUUAGGCAGUUGGCGGGGUAACGGCCCACCAAACCGACGAUGGAUAGGGGUUCUGAGAGGAAGGUCCCCCACAUUGGUACUGAGACACGGACCAAACUCCUACGGGAGGCAGCAGUGAGGAAUAUUGGUCAAUGGGCGUAAGCCUGAACCAGCCAAGUCGCGUGAGGGAUGAAGGUUCUAUGGAUCGUAAACCUCUUUUAUAAGGGAAUAAAGUGCGGGACGUGUCCCGUUUUGUAUGUACCUUAUGAAUAAGGAUCGGCUAACUCCGUGCCAGCAGCCGCGGUAAUACGGAGGAUCCGAGCGUUAUCCGGAUUUAUUGGGUUUAAAGGGUGCGUAGGCGGCCUUUUAAGUCAGCGGUGAAAGUCUGUGGCUCAACCAUAGAAUUGCCGUUGAAACUGGGAGGCUUGAGUAUGUUUGAGGCAGGCGGAAUGCGUGGUGUAGCGGUGAAAUGCUUAGAUAUCGCGCAGAACCCCGAUUGCGAAGGCAGCCUGCCAAGCCAUGACUGACGCUGAUGCACGAAAGCGUGGGGAUCAAACAGGAUUAGAUACCCUGGUAGUCCACGCAGUAAACGAUGAUCACUAGCUGUUUGCGAUACACAGUAA